UACGAAGGGGGCUAGCGUUGCUCGGAAUCACUGGGCGUAAAGCGCACGUAGGCGGAUUGCUAAGUCAGGGGUGAAAUCCUGGAGCUCAACUCCAGAACUGCCUUUGAUACUGGCGACCUUGAGUCCGGGAGAGGUGAGUGGAACUGCGAGUGUAGAGGUGAAAUUCGUAGAUAUUCGCAAGAACACCAGUGGCGAAGGCGGCUCACUGGGGAUUUUCUGACGCUGAGGAACGAAAGCCAGGGGAGCGAACGGG
RNAcentral lists this ribosomal RNA (253 nucleotides) under uncultured bacterium. RNAcentral describes it as "partial 16S ribosomal RNA". It matches the Rfam family "Bacterial small subunit ribosomal RNA", at positions 524 to 776 of the family's 1533-position model. The record is from RNAcentral.